UUAAGCGACUAAGCGUACACGGUGGAUGCCCUGGCAGUCAGAGGCGAUGAAGGACGUGCUAAUCUGCGAUAAGCGUCGGUAAGGUGAUAUGAACCGUUAUAACCGGCGAUUUCCGAAUGGGGAAACCCAGUGUGUUUCGACACACUAUCAUUAACUGAAUCCAUAGGUUAAUGAGGCGAACCGGGGGAACUGAAACAUCUAAGUACCCCGAGGAAAAGAAAUCAACCGAGAUUCCCCCAGUAGCGGCGAGCGAACGGGGAGCAGCCCAGAGCCUGAAUCAGUGUGUGUGUUAGUGGAAGCGUCUGGAAAGGCGCGCGAUACAGGGUGACAGCCCCGUACACAAAAAUGCACAUACUGUGAGCUCGAUGAGUAGGGCGGGACACGUGGUAUCCUGUCUGAAUAUGGGGGGACCAUCCUCCAAGGCUAAAUACUCCUGACUGACCGAUAGUGAACCAGUACCGUGAGGGAAAGGCGAAAAGAACCCCGGCGAGGGGAGUGAAAAAGAACCUGAAACCGUGUACGUACAAGCAGUGGGAGCCUCUUAAUGGGGUGACUGCGUACCUUUUGUAUAAUGGGUCAGCGACUUAUAUUCUGUAGCAAGGUUAACCGAAUAGGGGAGCCGAAGGGAAACCGAGUCUUAACUGGGCGUUAAGUUGCAGGGUAUAGACCCGAAACCCGGUGAUCUAGCCAUGGGCAGGUUGAAGGUUGGGUAACACUAACUGGAGGACCGAACCGACUAAUGUUGAAAAAUUAGCGGAUGACUUGUGGCUGGGGGUGAAAGGCCAAUCAAACCGGGAGAUAGCUGGUUCUCCCCGAAAGCUAUUUAGGUAGCGCCUCGUGAAUUCAUCUCCGGGGGUAGAGCACUGUUUCGGCAAGGGGGUCAUCCCGACUUACCAACCCGAUGCAAACUGCGAAUACCGGAGAAUGUUAUCACGGGAGACACACGGCGGGUGCUAACGUCCGUCGUGAAGAGGGAAACAAGGGAAACAACCCAGACCGCCAGCUAAGGUCCCAAAGUCAUGGUUAAGUGGGAAACGAUGUGGGAAGGCCCAGACAGCCAGGAUGUUGGCUUAGAAGCAGCCAUCAUUUAAAGAAAGCGUAAUAGCUCACUGGUCGAGUCGGCCUGCGCGGAAGAUGUAACGGGGCUAAACCAUGCACCGAAGCUGCGGCAGCGACACUAUGUGUUGUUGGGUAGGGGAGCGUUCUGUAAGCCUGCGAAGGUGUACUGUGAGGUAUGCUGGAGGUAUCAGAAGUGCGAAUGCUGACAUAAGUAACGAUAAAGCGGGUGAAAAGCCCGCUCGCCGGAAGACCAAGGGUUCCUGUCCAACGUUAAUCGGGGCAGGGUGAGUCGACCCCUAAGGCGAGGCCGAAAGGCGUAGUCGAUGGGAAACAGGUUAAUAUUCCUGUACUUGGUGUUACUGCGAAGGGGGGACGGAGAAGGCUAUGUUGGCCGGGCGACGGUUGUCCCGGUUUAAGCGUGUAGGCUGGUUUUCCAGGCAAAUCCGGAAAAUCAAGGCUGAGGCGUGAUGACGAGGCACUACGGUGCUGAAGCAACAAAUGCCCUGCUUCCAGGAAAAGCCUCUAAGCAUCAGGUAACAUCAAAUCGUACCCCAAACCGACACAGGUGGUCAGGUAGAGAAUACCAAGGCGCUUGAGAGAACUCGGGUGAAGGAACUAGGCAAAAUGGUGCCGUAACUUCGGGAGAAGGCACGCUGAUAUGUAGGUGAAGUCCCUCGCGGAUGGAGCUGAAAUCAGUCGAAGAUACCAGCUGGCUGCAACUGUUUAUUAAAAACACAGCACUGUGCAAACACGAAAGUGGACGUAUACGGUGUGACGCCUGCCCGGUGCCGGAAGGUUAAUUGAUGGGGUUAGCGGUAACGCGAAGCUCUUGAUCGAAGCCCCGGUAAACGGCGGCCGUAACUAUAACGGUCCUAAGGUAGCGAAAUUCCUUGUCGGGUAAGUUCCGACCUGCACGAAUGGCGUAAUGAUGGCCAGGCUGUCUCCACCCGAGACUCAGUGAAAUUGAACUCGCUGUGAAGAUGCAGUGUACCCGCGGCAAGACGGAAAGACCCCGUGAACCUUUACUAUAGCUUGACACUGAACAUUGAGCCUUGAUGUGUAGGAUAGGUGGGAGGCUUUGAAGUGUGGACGCCAGUCUGCAUGGAGCCGGCCUUGAAAUACCACCCUUUAAUGUUUGAUGUUCUAACGUUGGCCCCUUACCGGGGUUGCGGACAGUGUCUGGUGGGUAGUUUGACUGGGGCGGUCUCCUCCUAAAGAGUAACGGAGGAGCACGAAGGUUGGCUAAUCCUGGUCGGACAUCAGGAGGUUAGUGCAAUGGCAUAAGCCAGCUUGACUGCGAGCGUGACGGCGCGAGCAGGUGCGAAAGCAGGUCAUAGUGAUCCGGUGGUUCUGAAUGGAAGGGCCAUCGCUCAACGGAUAAAAGGUACUCCGGGGAUAACAGGCUGAUACCGCCCAAGAGUUCAUAUCGACGGCGGUGUUUGGCACCUCGAUGUCGGCUCAUCACAUCCUGGGGCUGAAGUAGGUCCCAAGGGUAUGGCUGUUCGCCAUUUAAAGUGGUACGCGAGCUGGGUUUAGAACGUCGUGAGACAGUUCGGUCCCUAUCUGCCGUGGGCGCUGGAGAACUGAGGGGGGCUGCUCCUAGUACGAGAGGACCGGAGUGGACGCAUCACUGGUGUUCGGGUUGUCAUGCCAAUGGCACUGCCCGGUAGCUAAAUGCGGAAGAGAUAAGUGCUGAAAGCAUCUAAGCACGAAACUUGCCCCGAGAUGAGUUCUCCCUGACUCCUUGAGAGUCCUGAAGGAACGUUGAAGACGACGACGUUGAUAGGCCGGGUGUGUAAGCGCAGCGAUGCGUUGAGCUAACCGGUACUAAUGAACCGUGAGGCUUAACCU
Molecule: ribosomal RNA, 2910 nt
Filed under: Escherichia coli
Lineage: Bacteria; Pseudomonadati; Pseudomonadota; Gammaproteobacteria; Enterobacterales; Enterobacteriaceae
Description: 23S ribosomal RNA
Rfam family: Bacterial large subunit ribosomal RNA
Source: RNAcentral